Molecule: long non-coding RNA, 421 nt
Organism: Oxyura jamaicensis (ruddy duck)
Lineage: Eukaryota; Metazoa; Chordata; Aves; Anseriformes; Anatidae
Exons: 3
Source: RefSeq, a predicted model, not a curated record
AGAGUUGAACCUUCAGAUAGUACACUAUCUCAUGCAAUUGUUAGGCAGAGAGAAAGUUCAGUGAGUCAUUUUGCAGGAAAACAAUACAUGAAUGCAGCAGGGCCAGAGAUGGAAGAUGUGAAGGGAUGGGACUGUGAAGCAGUGAUAGAGUAAUUAGCUUGCCUCAAAUCACACAAGUAUAUGGCAGAAUCAAGGACUGAACCCACUGACUGUUCAUUCCUCUGCCCCAUCGUAUGGCCACCCUCCUCUACAUUAAUGUCUCUGCUUGAACCAAGUAGCCUGGCAAUCAGCUGAAAAUGUCUCUGCUAUAUGAACUAGACUUUUCUCUCUUUCCUCCAUUUAGGAACUUAAUUACACUAUUUAUUGAAUGAGGUAUUUGCACAUGAAAGCCAGUGAUUUGGAUCAGCUCCUGUCUAACAAA